RNAcentral lists this ribosomal RNA (950 nucleotides) under Pseudomonas aeruginosa. RNAcentral's name for it is "bacterial SSU rRNA". It matches the Rfam family "Bacterial small subunit ribosomal RNA", at positions 34 to 972 of the family's 1533-position model. The record is from RNAcentral. Lineage: Bacteria; Pseudomonadati; Pseudomonadota; Gammaproteobacteria; Pseudomonadales; Pseudomonadaceae.
CGGCUACAGGGCCCGCCCAACGCAAUGCCCGUCGAGCGGAUGAGGGAGCUUGCUCCUGGAUUCCGCGGCGGACGGGUGACUAAUGCCUAGGAAUCUGCCUGGUAGUGGGGGAUAACGUCCGGAAACGGGCGCUAAUACCGCAUACGUCCUGAGGGAGAAAGUGGGGGAUCUUCGGACCUCACGCUAUCAGAUGAGCCUAGGUCGGAUUAGCUAGUUGGUGGGGUAAAGGCCUACCAAGGCGACGAUCCGUAACUGGUCUGAGAGGAUGAUCAGUCACACUGGAACUGAGACACGGUCCAGACUCCUACGGGAGGCAGCAGUGGGGAAUAUUGGACAAUGGGCGAAAGCCUGAUCCAGCCAUGCCGCGUGUGUGAAGAAGGUCUUCGGAUUGUAAAGCACUUUAAGUUGGGAGGAAGGGCAGUAAGUUAAUACCUUGCUGUUUUGACGUUACCAACAGAAUAAGCACCGGCUAACUUCGUGCCAGCAGCCGCGGUAAUACGAAGGGUGCAAGCGUUAAUCGGAAUUACUGGGCGUAAAGCGCGCCGUAGGUGGUUCAGCAAGUUGGAUGUGAAAUCCCCGGGCUCAACCUGGGAACUGCAUCCAAAACUACUGAGCUAGAGUACGGUAGAGGGUGGUGGAAUUUCCUGUGUAGCCGUGAAAUGCGUAGAUAUAGGAAGGAACACCAGUGGCGAAGGCGACCACCUGGACUGAUACUGACACUGAGGUGCGAAAGCCUGGGGAGCAAACACGAUUAGAUACCCCUGGUAGUCCACGCCGUAAACGAUGUCGACUAGCCUUGGGAUCCUUGACAUCUCAGUGGCGCAGCCUAACGCCAUAAGUCUACCGCCUGCGCGAGUACGGCGCAAGGCUAAAACUCUCAAUGAAUUGACCGGGGGCCUGCACAAGCCGGCGCGAGACUGUGGUUUAAUCCUAAGCAACGCGAAAACCUU